GACAAACCAACUCAUAUCUGCAGGCUUGAUAAAUCGCUUUAUGGUUUGAAACAGGCUCCCCGAGCAUGGUAUUCUCGCUUGAGUUCCAAGUUGCAAACACUUGGUUUCGUUUCCUCUAAAUCUGACACCUCCUUGUUUAUUUACAAUAAGUGCAACACAGUCAUCUUUGUGCUCAUUUAUGUUGAUGAUAUUAUUGUCACAAGCUCAUUUGAUGAGGCAGUUACAGCUCUACUCAAAGACUUGAACUCUGAGUUUGCUCUGAAAGAUCUUGGAGAUUUGCAUUAUUUUCUUGGCAUUGAGGUUAAGCACAACAAAGAAGGUGGUCUUCAUCUUUCUCAAGAAAAAUUUGCAACCAAUCUUCUGAGCAAGGCAGGGCUCCAAGGUUGUAAACCAUCCACAACUCCAUUAUCCAGUUCUGAGAAAUUAUCACUUGUGGAGCGUACACCUUUGAGUCAUGAAGAUGGCACAAAAUACAGGAGCUUGGUAGGUGCAAUUCAGUGUUUGACACUUGCUAGGCCUGACAUCUCCUUUGCAGUAAAUAAAGUGUGUCAGUUUCUUCAUGCACCCACUUCUAGUCAUUGGACUGCUGCUAAACGUAUUCUGAGAUACGUCAAGCAUACACUAAGUGUUGGUCUCACCUUCACUAAGUCAUCCUCUACUCUAGUCAGUGCAUUCUCUGACUCUGAUUGGGCAGGUUGA
Molecule: ribosomal RNA, 699 nt
Filed under: Triticum aestivum (bread wheat)
Lineage: Eukaryota; Viridiplantae; Streptophyta; Magnoliopsida; Poales; Poaceae
Description: partial small subunit ribosomal RNA
Source: RNAcentral